GAGCAACAAGGUGUAAAGGCAAAGGCCAGAUAAAAACUUCUGGGAUUCUUCCCUAGGUGGUUAGAAGGUGGAUGAAAUGGCUGGACUCAGAGCAGCCAUGCUGGUCUAUGAGGGGACCUUGUCAUAGAAGUCAUUCAUUACAUAGGAGACUAGUUCUCAGAGGACUACAUGGAACAGCCCUGGACUGUAGACUUGUAAGAGAUAAAGAAAGCAAGAUUCUAAACUGCGUCAGCCAACAUCUGAGGGGUUGUUACUUAUCAGCGUGGCUCAGGUGGAUCCCAAGAAGGCAGUCAAGAAAACAGGCAACUCAACAGGCAGGAGGCAACAGUUCUGGGCUGACAGGUGGGUGCACUGUAUCCAGGAUGCGGCAUUUUUUUUUUCCCCAAAUGUGCAUGGAAGAUUCUCCUGGGGACCAGCAGAAAGCUUGCACGUGGAAAUCUAUCUAUCUAUAGAGAAGAAUGGAAUUAUGGCAUAAUGCUGCUUUUCUAUGGCUGUGAUGAAGCACAAGACAAUGCUGUGAUGACCGAGACAACUUGUAGAAGAAAGAGUUCAUUUGGACUCAGGGUUCCAGAGGGGACAAGAGCUGCCAGAGCUGCCAGAGUGGUUUCAGGAUCUCAUUCCCGCGGCUCAAGGAGGGAAGGAAUUUCACCUAGCUACAGAUGGGUGGGAAAUCUCAAGGAAGGUCUCUGAUUGGCCCAGGCAAAACACUGUACCCAUCAAAUAAAAUAAACAUCCUAAGUUAAAAGAAAGAAAUGCCAUGAUCGAGCUAAGAGAAAUCCAGGCGAGAGCAAUCAGAGCCAGGGAAAGCCUACACUAUGGAGACUCAUGCUCAAGAUCAAAGCGGUUUGGAUCUGAGGAGAGAGGGGAGCAGCGUCAACCACAGAAGGUGCAGUCACCCCAAGCCCAGCUCAUCUCGUCACAAAUGUCUUGAUGACAUUCUCAAGAGGCCGAUUAUCUACUUAUUAUUUGAUUCAAGUUGACUAGAAACUGGACACCAAGUAAGAAACGAGCAAAAAAUAAUCAUCUAUUUUUUUUUUAAAUGUAGUCAAAAUGCAGCUGAGUAAGCCUUGGUAUAUACAAGGUUCCCCCAGCGAAGAACAGCGGGCAAAAAACGUUCCAGCAUCCUGGCUUAGCUGAAACAUAAAAAGCACGAAGACGUGAAACCAUCCGAGCAGGCCAUAAAGACACCGCUGCCUUUGCCUCGAAACUUGGGCUAUGAUCUGCUGCCCUGGAACAAAAUUCAAACAUAAAUCAGCUCCCAGUGUAUUUUUAAACUACCUAGGAAACUCUUCGCUUCCUGCCUGAAGUGCUUCUGACAGCGAACGACGCCACUCUCCCUCACCCCUGCUCUGAAAAAGGCUCCCUCGGGCCCUGCUGGGGAUCGGAGCCUGGGUCUCACAGUUCAGGCGAGUCCAGAAAGAGGAGAAGGACAGAAGGAACCAUCUGGAGCUUGGGCUGAGGCCAGCCUCUGCCAUGCUGUUCCCCGAAGAUGGAGAGGGCUCCUUCUCCUGGCAUUCCCUGCCAACCGGGAUGCCCUCUCCCAAUCACUCCCCAGCACAGUCUCAUCUAUACCCUGUGACCUAGAGCCCCUGCCAAGCCACCCCGGAUGCCCACAGCAUUAUCUUUAUCAGAGCCACUAACCCAGCAGCAGUGGGUACCAGGCCGCUGGCAUUUAAUUAUACAGUAUCUGGCAUUUGCUACUUCAUGCUGUCACGUCUGUCUCUCUAACUAGAUUAAAGAUACCUUGAGGGUAAUGAUGAGUUCAUCUUACGGCAUAUGUCUACCUUACAGCUGACCACGGCGCCUUAUGUCUGGGCACCUUUCUAACAACAAGGUCAUGGAAACAGAAUGGUGGGGUGUCUACGUUGGCAGGUUCUCUCUGCCCUGUCCAUUUUGUAGAGAAAGGGGAAAAAAAAAAAGGAAAGGCAAAGGAGAGGCUGGACCAGCCCAAGGCUGUGCCACGAGAACCUUCCAGAAGAGACCCAGGUCUCCCGACCGCCAAUGCAACACGCUCUAUUUGCCUCAGCCACUCGAAAACCCUCAAAAAGACAGUUCAGGCCCACAGCUCCCUGGGGAACCAAGAGACACAUGCAGACGACUGCCAUCCCCCAGGACUCCAUCUGCUCCUGGGCAGGAUUGCCAGGCCAGGCAGUAGAAAAGCUCAGUGGACAGCCCUGGUGGGAGGAGUCAACGCCGGGCCUCUCUGUACUAGCCGCCAGGGUGGGGUGGGGUGUGUAAGGACCUGAGUGGAUUGCCUGGGUCCCGCAGCCUCUCCUCACACCACAGGGGUCAGUCAGCACCUUCUGUGCCGUCCUGACACAUCCAUCAAGCUGUGAGAGGAGAGGGCGGCCCCUCCGUGGAGAGAUGCCUGUGCAUGCUGGGGCUGCAGUGAAGGCCACACUCCAGGUAGUUGCCUCAAACUCCAGACAACACGUUGCUCCAUAGUGACGGGAAGGCUGACAGAAAUCAGCCUCAAGACAAAUGGCAGCAACUAGUAGGCAAAACCCAGCCACAGGCUGGUGGCUCCUCAGUCCUGAGGCUCUCCAGGUCACUCACUCUGCAGCUGCCACAGCCGCUCUGUAGCAGUUCUCAGAAGGGCCCUCCACACCCGCCGUGAUGCACUCACUUAACAGAUGUGAAAACCGAGGCCUAGGAAACGGAAGUACUUUGCUCCGCGUCGCCACUGUGUACAGCUGCUAAAUGUCAGAGCGGAGACUGGAAUCCAGGACAGCUUCACUGUAAAAGAUCCCCCCCUUCGAUACAAUCCACAGAGACUUUGA
Peromyscus maniculatus bairdii (prairie deer mouse) is the source of this 2780-nucleotide non-coding RNA. NCBI's taxonomy places the organism in Eukaryota, Metazoa, Chordata, Mammalia, Rodentia, Cricetidae. The record is from RefSeq and is a predicted model, not a curated record.